GACGUAGGUGGCGACCGUUAUCCGGAAUUAUUGGGCGUAAAGGAUGCGUAGAUGGUGUAGUAAGUUAUCGGUGGCAAAUCGAGGCUCAACCUCGUGGAAGUCGGUAAUACUGCUAUGCUAGAGGAUAGGAGAGGUUAACGGAACUCCCUGUGGAGCGGUGAAAUGCGUAGAUAUAGGGAAGAACACCAAUCAGGCGAAGGCAGUUAACUAUUCUAUUCCUGACAUUGAGGCAUGAAAGCGUGGGGAGCAAAACGG
RNAcentral lists this ribosomal RNA (255 nucleotides) under uncultured bacterium. Its description in RNAcentral is "partial 16S ribosomal RNA". It matches the Rfam family "Bacterial small subunit ribosomal RNA", at positions 524 to 776 of the family's 1533-position model. The record is from RNAcentral.